Molecule: unclassified non-coding RNA, 346 nt
Filed under: soil metagenome
Description: partial contains 5.8S ribosomal RNA, internal transcribed spacer 2, and large subunit ribosomal RNA
Rfam family: 5.8S ribosomal RNA (bases 1-120)
Source: RNAcentral
GAUGAAGAACGUAGCGAAAUGCGAUAAGUAAUGUGAAUUGCAGAAUUCCGUGAAUCAUCGAAUCUUUGAACGCAUAUUGCGCCCUCUGGUAUUCCGGGGGGCAUGCCUGUCCGAGCGUCAUUGCUGCCCUCAAGCCCGGCUUGUGUGUUGGGUCUCGUCCCCCUUCCCGGGGGGACGGGCCCGAAAGGCAGCGGCGGCACCGCGUCCGGUCCUCGAGCGUAUGGGGCUUUGUCACCCGCUCUGUAGGCCCGGCCGGCGCUUGCCGAUCAACCAAAACUUUUUUCCAGGUUGACCUCGGAUCAGGUAGGGAUACCCGCUGAACUUAAGCAUAUCAAUAAGCGGAGGA